RNAcentral lists this transfer RNA (68 nucleotides) under Sternocampsus coriaceus. RNAcentral describes it as "tRNA-Cys". Lineage: Eukaryota; Metazoa; Arthropoda; Insecta; Coleoptera; Elateridae. The record is from RNAcentral.
AGCUUUGUAUUCAAAAUUGAUUUUAAAUUGCAAAUUUAAAGGUGAAUAGUAAAUUUAUUCUAAGGCUU